CCAAACCAAAUCUAAAGUUGACCAAAAUUGAUUUGCAACUCUUUUAGUACUAAUGUUGGGAGAGUGGUCUCUGGUCAAAGUGGUCCCUGGUCAAAAAAAGGUGGGGAACCACUGAGCUAGACAAAAGACAAGAAAAAUAGGGCUGAUCUUCCAUAAAGAGUUGGCAAAAAGGAACUUCUUUGUCAGAAGCUUUGUUUACUGAGCUGAAUGAGAAGGGACCAUUAAAGUGCAAAAAGACAAAACUCCUCUGUAGAAAACAUACAAGAUAGUCUCUGUUUAUACAUUGUCAGAUUUAAAGGCAGAAAACAGAGCUAACACAAAGAGAACAGCUAAAAAAUAAUACUUCUGAAGUGAUACAAUAACAAAACUGCCAAAACAGUUGAGACAAAACAAAAAUAUAUAUACAUAUAUGGGCAUCCUGUAGGAACUGUUUUUCUUGCAAACUCUUUUAACCAUUUCUAAUAUUGUUAAUCUGUUGUUUGGAUACAAUAAAUAGCUUUAAAAUGGUUGUUGAAAAUAAAGACUAUGUCUGAUUUCAAAGCAACUCCAAUAUUAAACAGCAGAUGGAUGCAUGACCUGAAAUUUCAAGAACAAUGAUAAAACACACUUCGGUUUGGAAUUUUCUUUUUCUCAUGCAUUUCGUAAAUGGAAAACCUGAUUAUUUAAUAUAUUUUUAAUGGGAAGCAUAAGGGUGAAUCAGAAGAAACAAAAAAUAAGUGUUCUUAUAAUCAAUGAAGACUACACGAAGCAAUCCAAGUCUGAAAGGUUUCAAUUUUAUUUCCAACAGGUGUUGCAGUCCACCGCAGUCUCAUUAGCACAGGAAAACUACCUUAUGGAGCAUGCCCAAGAAAGAAUUACCUGAAGCCUGCUAGGAAUUCCUUUUAAAUUAAAACAGAAUUUUAGAUUUCUGAGGUGAUUCGCUGGUCCUGAUUGUCUCUAGUCUGGAAGCAACUACUUUCAAAGGUGAUGACACAGCUCAUUGGAAACGGCAAUAAAGCUGGGAGAAUAGAAGGAGGACACUGAAAUCUUCUGGCAGAUGCCGACUCCAACUAGCCAGAACCUGACUAGCAACCGUCACCCAGAGGACCUUUUCAUCAGACACCCCAAGACUGAAGAAUGACCUACUGGAAGAGCCCUGACAGCCAAAUGAACUGUCGGAAUUUAAAACACAACUGAAGACCUAUCUCUUCUGGCAGGCCUACCUGGCCAAAUUUCAAUCAUGGAUUUUGAUUUGCAUUAUAUGGCUACAAUAUGUUA
Long non-coding RNA from Anolis carolinensis (green anole), 1257 nucleotides. RefSeq lists it as uncharacterized. The transcript has 4 exons. The record is from RefSeq and is a predicted model, not a curated record. NCBI's taxonomy places the organism in Eukaryota, Metazoa, Chordata, Lepidosauria, Squamata, Anolidae.